This 72-nucleotide transfer RNA is filed under the name Camelus bactrianus (Bactrian camel). It matches the Rfam family "tRNA". From Rfam's summary of the family: Transfer RNA (tRNA) molecules are approximately 80 nucleotides in length. Their secondary structure includes four short double-helical elements and three loops (D, anti-codon, and T loops). Further hydrogen bonds mediate the characteristic L-shaped molecular structure. tRNAs have two regions of fundamental functional importance: the anti-codon, which is responsible for specific mRNA codon recognition, and the 3' end, to which the tRNAs corresponding amino acid is attached (by aminoacyl-tRNA synthetases). tRNAs cope with the degeneracy of the genetic code in two manners: having more than one tRNA (with a specific anti-codon) for a particular amino acid; and 'wobble' base-pairing, i.e. permitting non-standard base-pairing at the 3rd anti-codon position. The record is from Rfam by way of RNAcentral. RNAcentral also lists the same sequence under 2 other names. Lineage: Eukaryota; Metazoa; Chordata; Mammalia; Artiodactyla; Camelidae.
GCAGUUAUAGCUUAGUAGCAGGGUGCGUGCUUAGCAUGCAUGAGGUCCUGGGUUCAAUUCCCAGUCCCUCCA